AAGUAAUAACUAUAUAUUUCAUGCGAGAUGGUAUUCUACUCUAGGAUUUAUUUGAAGCAAAAGUAUCUUCUUUCUUCAAAUCCUUGCUUGGCACUUGUAUUUUUGCCAAUCUAGCAACAUCUUUGGAAAGAAGUUCUUAAUUUAUCUAGUUGUUUUGUGUCACCAUUCAGUAUUUUGUACUCUUUGCAGUGUGAUUGUUGAAGCUUUGAAAAUGGACAGUCUGCAGAAAAUUUGCUCAUCAUUGGAGCCCAUUCUUCGAAGAGUUGUAAGAGAGCUUAAAACUUAUUCCACACCAGAGUUUUCUUAAAAUCAUUUUCCAGCAUUCUAUGAUCUGCCAAUUUAAGUUACUUAAUUUCAUUAAAGAAUUUGCACUUGAAGAAUCCACAACAUGCCCAUGUUAUCAUUUCUCACUUUGAUUUUCCAGUGCGACAUCUGAUUAUUGUAUAAAUACAUCUUUGACACCAUUAUUUGAGAUAAUACAUUUUUUAACUAGUUUGUUUGUGUACACAAGGAACUUAUUCAAUCAAAUAAUAUAAGAAGAUAAGCUCUAUUUUUUUAAUCUUGAUUAGUAUUUAAAGUUAAGUCAUGUCGUGUUGACUUUCUAUGUAAAUGAUGUUUGUUUGGAAGAAUUUGAGUGACACCUCUAAAUUACAUGUGUAAUAUACUAUAGUUAAAUUGCUCAUGUAGCAGAUAUUUCUCUCAUCUUGAGAUUCUAUAGAGAGAAAGAGAUCUGCAAAAGCGAUUGCCUCUUGUUGGUGACUGACAACCAGACAACCUGAGUCCUUUCCUAUUCAUUGGGAUGCUAAGUCUUCUCUAUGAGUGGUUUUCAGUCUCUAAAAAUUGCAUUCGGCUAAUUUGUAAAUCUAUCUAUAGUUUGGUCAGAUAAUUAAUGCUUAAGAUUGUUUGAAUCCUUUUAUUCUUAAGUUAGUGUAAAGUAUCUCUUUCUUUUUGUCUGAUUGCUUUGGAUAUAUGUUGUGAUUUGUAAAACUUCAUUUCUUUAUUCCAUAAUUGUGUUGUUUUCUCAUUCUGUUGGAUGUUGAAACAUGGCCCCUAAAAAUUAUUCUCGAUCUUUUUCUAUGACAUUGAUAACUCACCUUCUAUGAACUUUCAAUUUUUUGGUCUCGAAGUUCUAUAUUCUGAAUGGACCCUAUUUAUUAGUAAUAUCUGAUGUUUCUUCUUGACAAUCUGAUGCUGUAUGGUGCUUCAUUAGGUCAGUGAAGAAGUUGAACGAGCCUUAGCAAAGCUAAGUCCUCCAAAAAUUGGUGGAAGGUAAGACAUAUUAUGACAUCAUACAUCAUGAAUCAGAUGGAUUCUUUGAGAAUGAACUUAUUUUGGAUUUUUUUUCCUCUGCAUGGAAUUAUAAGUGACUAAGAUGUUAUAACCAAAUAGUUAUGUUGCCAUGCUUUCUGAUACAAUCUUUCCGGUAAAAUAUCUGAAAGCAUGUCAAGUUUCUUGUGAACUUGUUACAGGCUGCACAACAAGUGUUUAAAUUUAAUGAAAUGAAGGAUGGUUGAGACAGAUAACAGCUGUAUAUUAUGAUUUUUAAAUUGUUGUCCUAGAGUCUGAUUGCUAGAAUUUUAAUUUAUGGUCAUUCUGCUUAACAGAUUGUAGUCUAUUUUUCAGAAGCUACUAUAGACAUAUAUAGGCAUGAUGUUAUUUUCCUACCGAGAAUUUUAUGUAUCUUAUAUUAAAAGGAAAACAAAAUUAUUAACAUUUGCUUGGUUUAGCAAAAAAAGCUGCAAAAAGUCAUGCAAACACACUAUGAUUAUGAUUUUCAUACAAUCUUUAUGAUUAUACAAGCGGCACUGUUUCUUCAUCCCUUUGUGACCAAGUAAGCUGUCUUUUUAAUCUUGGACUUUUAGAUUUUGUUUUGUGUGCCACUGUCAGUAUCAGAUUGCUUUGGGGAGACUAUAGUAAAUGAAGAGUGCAUUACAUCACAAACAGCAAUAUGAAGCAAAAGUCUGCAAGGUAAUAAGUUAUAAGAAAACAGGAACAAACUUUUCUGUUACAGCAGAAAUAAUGGAGUAUGACGAAAGAAGUGAAACAUGAGGAGAACAAAGAGUAAGUUAUGACUGGGUUACCAAAUUUGUUUGAUGAAAAUGCAUUCUGUAAGAAUGAUCUUUGCUGCACAUCUUUCUGUUUUAAGUCUAACCACAUACUGUUCCUAUAAAAGAUAGGAGUCCUUAGGGAUAAAAGUAGGUAAUAAAGGUAGUUGACCAAAUCGGAUAAAGAUCAUAAUCAGAAAGUACCCAAUCAAUUACAAAAAUUUCAUAAGUGGAAUACAACUAAAUAAGCUCAUGUCUAAUGAUAUCUAGCUUUGUGAAGAUGUUCUAAAGUUGUGAUAAUAUUGCCUUGUAAAUUGAGAAUAGGCCAAUUAAUCUAAUUAACUCAAACAAGAAUUAAUAGAACUCUGCACAAACCUAACUUUAAGACUUGCUUUAUCAUAUUCAAGCCAUUCAAUUUCAGUCCAUCUUGUUAGUCUUUGCUUGUUAGUUGUGAUGUUUCCCAGUAAUUGAUGUGCACAUCUAAGAAAGAUUAUUUCCUUCAGUUUGUUGCUUAUUGUUUGAAGAAAUAUUAGCUUCAUUUUUAUCUUCCGAUAGUAAAGAACUGAUUCAUCAUCUAGCCUAUAAGAAGUUCACCAAUUCAUCUUCUAGCCUAUGAGAAGUUCAUUGUCGCAGCAUCAUUUCUCUGAGGGGUAGAUUUGGUAAUUUUCCAGAUUUAAUAGUUUUAAGGGUAUUCUUGGAAUCAUCAAAUUUCAGAAUUGGUCCUGCAACUCAGCUCUUCCACUUGGACAUAUGAGUUAUCCUAUGCCUAAUAUGCAUCUUUGACUAUUUAUGCUUGUUUCGAUUCCUGGAUUAGGUGCUUUAUGAAUAAAGACUAGCAUUAUUGUUUGUUGUUUUGCUUCAAUCUUCUUGUUCUCCAAUUCAUAUGCAAAACUAGAAGUUGUAGUCCUUGAGGGUGAUUUUAGCAAUGAAGACAAUGAUGAUUGGACAGAAGAAGAGUUUGACAGUCAUGUAGUGAAAGAACGCGAAGGAAAAAGGCCUCUUUUGAUUGGAGACUUAUACGUCUCAUGGAAAGAAGGUAUAGGAACCCUUGGAGAGCUCACAUUUCCAGACAAUUCUAGUUGGAUACGGAGUAGGAAAUUUAGGCUUGGACUGAAGAUUGCUUCAGGUUUUUGUGAUGGUAUUCGAGUCCGUGAAGCGAAAACAGAAGCUUUCACUGAAAGGACCACAGAGGGGAAUUGGACAAGAAACACUAUCCACCUGAAUUGAAAGAUGAAGUCUGGAGAUUGGAAAAGAUUGGUAAGGAUGGUUCAUUCCACAAGAGGUUGAAUAAAUAUGGACUCUUUACAGUUGAAGACUUUCUCAGACUUAUUGUUAGGGAUCCCCAGAAACUCCGCAAGGUUCUUGGAACUGCUAUGCUGAUGAACACUAUCGCAACUGCUAUGCUGAUGAACACUAUCUUCUUGACCUUAACCAGGUUUUGAUAGUCGCAACUGCUAUGCUGAUGAACACUAUCUUCCAACUCUAUUGAAU
Molecule: long non-coding RNA, 3536 nt
Organism: Musa acuminata AAA Group (dessert banana)
Lineage: Eukaryota; Viridiplantae; Streptophyta; Magnoliopsida; Zingiberales; Musaceae
Exons: 3
Source: RefSeq, a predicted model, not a curated record